CCUACGGGAGGCUGCAGUGGGGAAUAUUGCACAAUGGGGGAAACCCUGAUGCAGCGACGCCGCGUGAGUGAAGAAGUAAUUCGUUAUGUAAAGCUCUAUCAGCAGGGAAGAAAAUGACGGUACCUGAGUAAGAAUCCCCGGCUAACUACGUGCCAGCAGCCGCGGUAAUACGUAGGGGGCAAGCGUUAUCCGGAUUUACUGGGUGUAAAGGGAGCGUAGACGGCAGUGCAAGUCUGUAGUGAAAGGCGGGGGCUCAACCUCCGGACUGCUCUGGAAACUGUACGGCUGGAGGGCAGGAGAGGGAAGUGGAAUUCCUAGUGUAGCGGUGAAAUGCGUAGAUAUUAGGAGGAACACCAGUGGCGAAGGCGGAUUACUGGACUGUAACUGACGUUGAGGCACGAAAGCGUGGGGAGCAAACAGGAUUAGAUACCCGUGUAGUC
RNAcentral lists this ribosomal RNA (440 nucleotides) under uncultured bacterium. RNAcentral describes it as "partial 16S ribosomal RNA". It matches the Rfam family "Bacterial small subunit ribosomal RNA", at positions 338 to 795 of the family's 1533-position model. The record is from RNAcentral.